AAACUUUCAACAACGGAUCUCUUGGUUCUGGCAUCAUGAAGAACGCAGCGAAAUGCGAUAAGUAAUGUGAAUUGCAGAAUUCAGUGAAUCAUCGAAUCUUUGAACGCACAUUGCGCCCGCCAGCAUUCUGGCGGGCAUGCCUGUCCGAGCGUCAUUU
This 157-nucleotide ribosomal RNA is filed under the name Trichoderma asperellum. RNAcentral's name for it is "5.8S ribosomal RNA". It matches the Rfam family "5.8S ribosomal RNA". From Rfam's summary of the family: 5.8S ribosomal RNA (5.8S rRNA) is a component of the large subunit of the eukaryotic ribosome. It is transcribed by RNA polymerase I as part of the 45S precursor that also contains 18S and 28S rRNA. Functionally, it is thought that 5.8S rRNA may be involved in ribosome translocation. The record is from RNAcentral. Lineage: Eukaryota; Fungi; Ascomycota; Sordariomycetes; Hypocreales; Hypocreaceae.